AUUGAACGCUGGCGGCAUGCUUUACACAUGCCAGUCGAACGGUAACAGGCCGCAAGGUGCUGACGAGUGGCGAACGGGUGAGUAAUGCAUCGGAACGUGCCCAGUCGUGGGGGAUAACUACUCGAAAGAGUAGCUAAUACCGCAUACGAUCUAUGGAUGAAAGCGGGGGACCGUAAGGCCUCGCGCGAUUGGAGCGGCCGAUGUCAGAUUAUGUAGUUGGUGGGGUAAAGGCUCACCAAGCCAACGAUCUGUAGCUGGUCUGAGAGGACGACCAGCCACACUGGGACUGAGACAUGGCCCAGACUCCUACGGGAGGCAGCAGUGGGGAAUUUUGGACAAUGGGCGCAAGCCUGAUCCAGCAAUGCCGCGUGCAGGAAGAAGGCCUUCGGGUUGUAAACUGCUUUUGUACGGAACGAAACGGCUCUGGUUAAUACCCGGGGCUAAUGACGGUACCGUAAGAAUAAGCACCGGCUAACUACGUG
Molecule: ribosomal RNA, 482 nt
Filed under: uncultured bacterium
Lineage: Bacteria
Description: partial 16S ribosomal RNA
Rfam family: Bacterial small subunit ribosomal RNA
Source: RNAcentral